Molecule: ribosomal RNA, 490 nt
Filed under: uncultured bacterium
Lineage: Bacteria
Description: partial 16S ribosomal RNA
Rfam family: Bacterial small subunit ribosomal RNA
Source: RNAcentral
AUUGAACGCUGGCGGCAGGCUUAACACAUGCCAGUCAAACGGUAACAUAAAGGAGCUUGCUUCUUUGAUGACGAGUGGCGGACGGGUGAGUAAUGCUUGGGAAUCUAGCUUAUGGAGGGGGAUAACUACGGGAAACUGUAGCUAAUACCGCGUAGAAUCGGGAGAUGAAAGUGUGGGACCUUCGGGCCACAUGCCAUAGGAUGAGCCCAAGUGGGAUUAGGUAGUUGGUGAGGUAAAGGCUCACCAAGCCGACGAUCUCUAGCUGGUCUGAGAGGAUGACCAGCCACACUGGGACUGAGACACGGCCCAGACUCCUACGGGAGGCAGCAGUGGGGAAUAUUGCGCAAUGGGGGCAACCCUGACGCAGCCAUGCCGCGUGAAUGAAGAAGGCCUUCGGGUUGUAAAGUUCUUUCGGUAGCGAGGAAGGCAUUUAGUUUAAUAGACUAGGUGAUUGACGUUAACUACAGAAGAAGCACCGGCUAACUCCGUG